GACGAACGCUGGCGGCGUGCUUAACACAUGCAAGUCGAGCGGUACGGCCCUUUCGGGGGUACACGAGCGGCGAACGGGUGAGUAACACGUGGGUGACCUGCCUUUAGCUCUGGGAUAAGCCUGGGAAACCGGGUCUAAUACCGGAUAUGACUCCGCGGCGCAUGUUGUGGGGUGGAAAGCCUUGUGCGGCUGGAGAUGGGCCCGCGGCCUAUCAGCUUGUUGGGUGGGGUGAGGCCUACCAAGGCGACGACGGGUAGCCGGCCUGAGAGGGCGACCGGCCACACUGGGACUGAGACACGGCCCAGACUCCUACGGGAGGCAGCAGUGGGGAAUCUUGCGCAAUGGGCGAAAGCCUGACGCAGCGACGCCGCGUGAGGGAUGACGGCCU
RNAcentral lists this ribosomal RNA (388 nucleotides) under uncultured bacterium. RNAcentral's name for it is "bacterial SSU rRNA". It matches the Rfam family "Bacterial small subunit ribosomal RNA", at positions 28 to 417 of the family's 1533-position model. The record is from RNAcentral.